GUAGGGAAUAUUGGACAAUGGGGGGAACCCUGAUCCAGCCAUGCCGCGUGGAGGAAGACUGCCCUCUGGGUUGUAAACUCCUUUUAUAUGGGAAGAACCGUCCUCAUUAAUGAGUGACCUGACGGUACCAUAGGAAUAAGCACCGACUAACUCCGUGCCAGCAGCCGCGGUAAUACGGAGGGUGCAAGCGUUAUCCGGAUCCACUGGGUUUAAAGGGUGCGUAGGCGGAUAAAUAAGUCAGUGGUGAAAUCAACGGGCUCAACCUGUUAACUGCCAUUGAUACUGUGUAUCUUGAAUAUGGGAGAGGUAGGCGGAAUGUUGCAUGUAGCGGUGAAAUGCUUAGAUAUGCUACGGAACACCGAUUGCGAAGGCAGCUUACUAUUUCGUAAUUGACGCUGAGGCACGAAAGCGUGGGUAGCGAACAGGAUUAGAAACCCUGGUAGUCC
Molecule: ribosomal RNA, 446 nt
Filed under: uncultured bacterium
Lineage: Bacteria
Description: partial 16S ribosomal RNA
Rfam family: Bacterial small subunit ribosomal RNA
Source: RNAcentral